Molecule: non-coding RNA, 46 nt
Organism: Steinernema glaseri
Lineage: Eukaryota; Metazoa; Nematoda; Chromadorea; Rhabditida; Steinernematidae
Source: Rfam
CCAACGGCCCUCUUUAGGGCCACAAUUCUUAAUAAAACUUAUACAU